GAAGUGUUAUCUCACUUCACAUAUUUCUUCUAUUCUCAAUAGGGUUAAACCUGAAAACCAUCCCUGAACUUUAAGCGAGAUUUGAUUUCCGUCCUUCGCCGGAAAAUCUUCCUAGCGCCACCCUCAAACUACAUUUUUUGUUUGAAAACCGUCCUUGCCGCCGAUUUACCUCCGGUCACCGUGCCAACCGUCCUAUGUGGCCAUGCCACGUCAUUUCAUUAAAUGACGUGUCAUUUAAAUAAAAUAAAAAAAUUAAAAAUAAAUUUUUUAAAUUUCUAAUUAAGCCCCCUAAACUAAUAAUCAACUAAUUAAGCCCCCUAAACUAAUAAUGAACUAAUCAAAAAAUUAAAAAUCAAUCAGUAAUAUAAGCAGUUUCAAAAAAAAAAAUUCAGUUUUUACUUCUCCUUCUUCAAACUCUUUGGGAGUGAAAUAAUGCUAUGUUGAACAACUUCAACAUCACAACACAACCACAGAUCCUCCAGCCGCUGCCCACCACGUCCGCGACGCACCCCUGUGCACCGCUCCUCCGGCCGCCGGCCGCUUGCCUUAUUCGCGAGCCCAACGCGCCUCUGGUAACCACAGCGCCGCCACUGGUCCUUGCUUGUAUCCACCCCGCGCUCGACCCCAAGCGUCGCCACUCCCCACUCUGGCAUCGCCGCCCUUGGUCGCCCUUCUUGCAGCAACCGCGCCUCCGUCCUUGUCUGGCGUCACUCAGAUCUGGAUUCAACAGUGAAACCGCCACUAGGAACAACAACAAUAGCAGUAUGGGUCUGGUCUUUUGCAUCCUGGGGAUCAGAUUAUGGGUGAGGUUGGGGGUGGUGGGUUAGGUUGGAGGCGGUGGCUGUGGGUGUUGAAGAUGAGGUUGGGGAUCGAACACUGCCCCAAUUCCAUUGCUUCUUCUCUCCUCCGUCCAAAUUGUUCAAUUCUUUUGCAGCAAAUUCAUAUCAGAAUCUCUGGUUGUGGCUUAAUUUGCUGCUGAAGUGGGAAUUUGGAUAAAGGCCGUGGAGUGUUAUCUUGAUGAAAUUGAAGAAGUGUUGUUUGUCUAUUUAAAGACUAAGUCUUAUCACCCUGUCUUGAUUCUUUGUGUUGCGAAUGGGUCCUGUGUUUGUAAUUGCUUGAAGGUUGUAGUUUUUGUAUUUUGAAACAGUGUUUAUCCAAGUGUGGGAACCAGCUCUUGUAGUUUUCCUUUUC
Long non-coding RNA from Lotus japonicus, 1191 nucleotides. RefSeq lists it as uncharacterized. NCBI's taxonomy places the organism in Eukaryota, Viridiplantae, Streptophyta, Magnoliopsida, Fabales, Fabaceae. The transcript is spliced from 2 exons. The record is from RefSeq and is a predicted model, not a curated record.